UCACAGCUUGCGCCGGCAGUCUCGCCAGAGUCCCCAACUUUACUUGCUGGUAACUGGCGAUGGGGGUUGCGCUCGUUAUGGCACUUAAGCCGACACCUCACGGCACGAGCUGACGACAACCAUGCAGCACCUCGACGGAUGUCCCGUAGGACUGCCUCCUUUCAGAAACAUCCAUCCGUCGUUUGAGCCCGGGUAAGGUUCCUCGCGUAUCAUCGAAUUAAACCACAUGUUCCUCCGCUUGUGCGGGCCCCCGUCAAUUCCUUUGAGUUUCACCGUUGCCGGCGUACUCCCCAGGUGGAAUACUUAACGCUUUCGCUGUACCACCCAGGCAUCAUUCUGCCCGGACAGUUAGUAUUCAUCGUUUACUGCGUGGACUAC
Molecule: unclassified non-coding RNA, 378 nt
Filed under: uncultured Muribaculaceae bacterium
Lineage: Bacteria; Pseudomonadati; Bacteroidota; Bacteroidia; Bacteroidales; Muribaculaceae
Description: contains 16S-23S intergenic spacer region
Source: RNAcentral